Molecule: long non-coding RNA, 5938 nt
Filed under: Sus scrofa (pig)
Lineage: Eukaryota; Metazoa; Chordata; Mammalia; Artiodactyla; Suidae
Description: lncRNA (ENSSSCG00000062383.1)
Source: RNAcentral
CAUAUGGAAGUUCCUACACUAGGGGUCACAUUGGAGCUGCAGCUGCUGGUCUACACCACAGCUCACUGGAAAUGCUGGAUCUUAAACCCACUCAGCAAGGCCAGGGUUCAAACCCACAUCCUCAUGGAUACAAGUCUGGUUCGUUACUGCUGAGCCACAACAGGAACACCGGGAUUUAAUUUCUUACAUUCCUCUAAGAUAUAUAUGCUACAUCGCAUAUUUAUAAUUAGUACUCUCCAGAUGUUGCCAUGGGAACAUGAGAUCUUUAAAGUCAGAAGGCAGAUCUUAUGUAUCUUUUCAUUUUUACUUUCCCAUUAGCUAUUGAGUAUUAGAGUUUAAAAAAAAAAAGACGAAAAUUUCUGUAGCGAAUUAACUAGUGUUCUAUAGGAAUCAGUAAAUUUGGGUUAACAGAGUCCCUCUAACUGGGGUAACAUAUAUCUAUUCUUAACACUGAACUGAUUUGAUUUGUAAGGAGGAAAAGAGAGAAAGCUAAGAUUUAUUGAGAACCUACUAUAUGCAAAGCAAAGUACCAAGUGCUUUGUGCUUGUAUUUAUUGUGGACUUUUUUCUUUCAAUAGUAUUUGAUUUGGAUUUAAAGGAUGAUACUGUCCAUGGGUAAGAGUUAAUGUAACUUACCUAUUAAGGUCACACUUACUAUAACCCAUCAAAAUGUAUCAACUUAUGAUAAAAACAUUUUUCAAAUAGAGUCUGAGUUUGUAGGUAGUAUAAUAAAAAGACAAUUUUAUAUCUACUGGCAAAAGUGAUGCACACUGCAUCAAUCUAAUGAAUUAAUAAUAAUCAAUGAGCAGUCAAUAUCUGUAUCUUUUAUUUUACAAUAAAAGUUGGCAAAGCUAAUACUUUUGGAUCCUUUUGAAUUAGUGAAAGAGUAAAUAGAUUCCUACAUCUGGAGAAAUGUGGUUGUAGCUUUGUUCUGAUUUCUGUAUCCAAUGCCAGGUAUCCAUCACCUGGGGUGGGGUGCUAUUUUGGUAAAAUAGAUCUCAUUACUUAUUUUCAGAAGAAUGUGCUCUUUCAGACCGAUGCUAUUGUUAAUGGAACUUUGAUUUUAGUGAGCAAAUGCCAAGAAAGUUUUUAAACACUCUGUUAUCCUUCCCAUCAAUUUAUAUCAGCCAGACAUAACAUAUGUGAGAAGUUAUCGAAAUUCUUCAGCAAUAAAACUGAAAUGAUGAAAGCUUUGCUUCCCCUUAGGUAUCAACCAGUAUCAGUAACCAAGUUGUUUUCAUUCUCUCUUUUUUAUUGUUUAAGGCUGGAGCAUAUUACUCUUGAUUCUUGCCAAGGUUCUAUGGCAUUAUUGUUUGAGACUCACCAGAUGUGUCUUUGAUCCCUGCCCAGUAGGUACCCUGGCCACAUGCCAGUCUGCCAUUUAUUCUUGUUACAAUUUUGAUUUUUUCACUUGUUUCUGAUUCUACCCAUCCUGUCAUCUUGCAGACCCUUAAAUUGACAACUUUGGGACCAAAGGGACCUAUAAUUUAACCUGUUUUAAUUGGAACCUUUUCUCCCAAGGACUUGCUACUAUUCUUGAGACACUUUGCUUAGGAUAUAAGUGAUGCAUAACUGUAAUAUAUUAUUGUCAUUUUAGAUGGAGAAGAGAUAGGGAGAAUGAUGGGAGUAUGUGGCUUUGGUCUAGUUUUCUCCCUUGUGAAUCAGUCAAGGUGUCUGAACUCUAGUGUAAAAUUCUCAGGCUCUCUGACCUAAAUUGAAUCUUCGUUCAGAUCAGCAUUUCUUGGGUCCUAGCUUUACUUUCCUAGAGGGUAUAAGAAUUUCAGAAUGCACUGAAAAAUUUGGGUAAACAUUAAUCUCAGAAAAAUUCUCAAGUUAGAAUUCUGAACAAUAUGGAGGGUAAUCUGCUGUGAGGUAUACCUCUCCCGCCCUUCAAAUGCUAACAUCAAGGACAUACUGAGGGACUUAAUACUGCCAAGAAGCUCAGAGGAGGUCUUGAUAGUCAGAGGCUGGAGCUUUAAUCACAUGGGAAGGUCCUUCUCAACCAAUUGCCAUCUGAGGAUAGAAAGCUAAUUGAGCCAAGUCAUAAACCACUGGAUCUUCUAAGGUGACUCCAUGUAUGGGAGACGAAAAGAGUUCACCUGAGUCUGUGAGUGAGAAGUUAAAUCCCUGGAAUAAAAUUGAAGCCAAGUUACACUGUGCCUGGCUUUAAGUUCCCGACUCAUAAUAUCCUGUGGUACCCCAAGCUAAGAUGUUAGCAAGAAAAUAAUCCUAGAAUUGACAAGGCAGACUCAUUAGAAUUCUGGCCAAGCAAACAGGAAACCAUUCUUUAGAGGCAUUGCAAUCAUUCAUACAAGAUUCCCACAGAACUCCUUCGCAAAUAACCCCCCCAAAACCUUCACCAAAGAUAAGCUCAUGCAAGAAAAAUCACUAAGCAAGAAAAUACUGUAUAUAAGAAAGACUUCGUUCAAAAUAUAAAUAGAAGUGACAGAAAUACAACUGUAGUGGAAGAGCUCCACUGCCAUGCUAUUUUGGGAAGAUUAUUUAGAUAAUUAUAUGAACAUUCAUAAGAUCACAUUCUAGUAGCCAAUUUCCCUUUCAAAAAUAAUUAAAAGGCUAAACAUUAGAGGAUUAUUGAAGAAAUGAUUUAUAUAUACAUAUACACAACUCUUGAAUAAACAUUAGCAUCCUAAAUUUAAAGAGUUUAAAUCAAUGUUAAAUUAAAAGGAAAACAUUAAUUUAUUUUUUCUCUAAAAGAAAAUAUAUUAAAGUAUUGCUAGCAUUAUAAUGAUAGGUGACUUCCUUGAUAUCUUUAUGCAUCUUCUGUAUUUCUCAAAGGGUCUGCAAUGAAGAACAAGAUUAGAAUUAUAGGACGGCAAGCAAGAGCCUAAAACUUGGAGAAUUACACACAAGCUGAUAUUUCUGGAAGGCUCACCACUAUACCACCAACGCUGCACACAAGCUGAUACUUUUGGAGGGAAGGAUGAAUUCAGAAAAUGGGCAGGAGUUAAGCCUAGAAAGGUAACUAAACGUCUCAUUGAGAACAAGUCACUAUGUGAUUUUAAGAAAUAAUUCUUCUCUGCAAAAGUCAGGGGAACUCUUCAAGAAGUCUAAGCUUACAAAUAUGGACCAGAUAUAUAUUUUCAAAAAUGCUCAGGCCUUACAGUGUAGAUUUGUGAAUGCAAAAUAAAACAGAAAACCAGGCGGCAGUAGUAAACUUAGCUAACAAUCAUUGGGUGCCCCAAACCAUGUGUUGAACACUUGAUAGAUUUUAGCUCUUUUAAUCUUUGUAACAGCUCUGUCAGGUAGGAACUUUUAUCAUCACCCUCUUAUAGAUAAGAAUUGAAGGAUAAAGAACUUGCAAAGGUCAUUCAGUUGGUAUCUGGUGGAGUCAGGCUCCCAUCUCUGGUAAUCUAAAACCAGCACUUAGGCUCUUCCCCCAGCGCUGUGAGGGUGCCUUUCCGAGAGAAGGAGUGGGGGUGGGGCGGUGGUGGUGGUGGAAGUCAACUGGAAAACUGAGAGACAAUGGAUGGGUGGAUCCAAGAUGUUAACUAACUUCUCUGAUUGAUUAGAUUUGAAGCAGGUAGACUUGAAUGAUUUCACAUGACCAUUAGAGCCACAUGGAUGGACCCAGAAAUGAUCAUACUAAGUGAAGUAAGUUAGAAAGAUAAAGCUAAGUCUCAUAUGAUAUCACUUAUAUGUGGAAUUUUAAAAAAAUGAUACAAAUGAAUUUAUGUAUGGAACUGAAACAUAAAUUUAUGGUUACCAAAGGGGAAAAGGGAUAGGGGAGAGAUAAAUUAAGACUGAGGGAUUAGCAUAUACACACCGCUACAUUUGAAAUAGAUACACAACAAUGUCCACUGUACAACACAGGGAACUAUGUUCAACAUCUUGUAAUAAGCCACAAUGGCAAAGAAUAUGAAAAAGAAUAUAUAUAUAUAUCUGUAUCUGAAUCCAAUUGCUGUACACCAGAAACAAAGACAGCACUGUAAAUCAACUAUACUUCAAUUUGAAGAUAAAUUUAAGAAGUAAAAAGUUAUUCAUUAGCAAAAACAGGAAAUUUAAUUCCUUUCAAUUUCCAGUGAAUUUUUGUAUCUCCUUACAUUUGAAUGACUAAAAUGGAAUGAAAUAGAAACAGCUUAGUCCUAAAAUUCAAUGAAAGUCAUACAGGGUGCAGAUCAGGAUAUGCCAGAGGUUUUGAUUUUUAACAAGGGAUGUUUGCCCUCCUGGUGGGGCCCAGGUUUCCUUUCCUAAGUGUGGGGAUGGAGAGCUAAUUGCCUCCUCCACAGUUGCUGCAUCUAGUCUCAUUUUACCUGGAGCUUCUUAGAUUUGCACUAACAGGGGCACAUAUUGAGACUUUUCAUUUUAAUCGUAACAACACAGGACACUAACACUAAUUGUUCAAAUUUAUCAUUGGAAGUUUUUGAACCUGUACAUCUUUAGCAUGUACAUCUUCAUGAUUAGAUUUAACACUGAACUACUUUGCAACAAAAGCACAUCUCUUUUCACGCCCUUUUGUAUGUGAGAUUAAACAUCUUAAGAUGGUCCUUAUCUGGGCCUUACUAUUGCUAAUGGUUUUGGUAUUUAUGAGAAUCAUAGUUUCAGGUUUUGAGAUGAUAGCAUUUUUUAUAUGAAAUGCAUUAAAAUAAAACUGUAGGAAAUAUUUUCAUGUUUAUAAAGAUUUCCCUGAUUUAAAAAAACUUAUAGGAGUUCCUGUAGUGGCUCAGCGGUAAAGAAUCUGACCUGUAUCCAUGAGGACGUGGGUUUGAUCCCUGGCCUCCCUCAGUGGGUUAAGGAUCUGGCAUUACUGUGAACUGUGGUGGAAGUUGCAGAUGUGGCUUGGAUUUGGCAUUGCUGUGGUAUAGGCUGGCAGCUGCAGCUCCGAUACCACCCCUAGCCUGAGGAACUUCCAUAUGCUGUGGGUGUGGCCCUAAAAAGACAAAACAAAACAAAACAAAAAAACCCUACUAAGCAAGGUCAUAUUCCCCAAAAGUUUAGAUUUCAAUAUUAAUUGUCAAAACUUUUUCAAGUUUUGAAUGACUGAUUUCAUGAUAAAAGUCACCUUGCUAAAUUACUGUUGUUUAAAUUGGGUCCUUUCACAUUCUUUCAAAUACCAUGUUCCCUGUUAUAGAAUUAUAAAAAGGAGACAAAAAUGGUAGUAGGCAUUGAUGUAACGUCUGUGCUACAUUUCAACCGUGCUGGAAAAAUAAGUCUUUGAGUUCUGCUGAAAACAACUUAUAAUAGAGAUUUAGCCCUAACUUAUAAUAGAGAUUUAGCCCCAGGAAUAUAUGUCUAUAAAAUAGUCAUGUUCAGAUAAAUAAUGAUUGGAAUUUUGGGUGAAUUAGAGGGUUUUAAAGGCUUCCAACUGCUGCAUGAUUUCAUUUUGGCAGCUCAGAUCAUGUUCUCCAACUUGGAGAUACCCAUCCCUGAUCAAAGCGAUGAGAGGUCUAAGAUCCCUUCAUCCUCUUCGACUUUCCAGUGGGGUCCCACUAAGAACACACAGCAUCGCUCUCCCAUUCUUUGCCCUUUCUUGUCCUUAACAGCUUUCUUUCUAUUACCAGUGGAAGUCUCACUACCCUCACAAAUAUUAAUGAUGGUUUGUUUAUUCUGGGUGUUCAAUUCCUUCUAACUGUGUUUAUACUAUGUUUUUACAAAGUAAUCUUUGAAUCCUUUCAUCUGGCUGUGCAACUGUGUAGGCAUCAGAGAGCUCCUAAUUUAUAUUUCCUGCAGCAACCAUUACCUGCAGCAACCCGCAGGGCUGAAUGGUACCUGGGCACAGUUGGCUGCUUGAGUUUAUUCUUGAUGGCCAUUCAGUCGCCAGUCGCCGGAGCCGAAUUCAUGCUGGAGAGUUUUAGAGUCAGUGCUUGCGAAAGAGGGGGAGGCAGGGAGGACCAGCUUCCCAACACCCUCCCCACCCAAGAAUAGUCCUAUUCUAAUAAUCUAAAGAUGUGUUUAGAAUUUUCAGUUGGCAUGACUUUAGC